CCAAGUAUAAUAUUUAGAUCUGAAACCGGAUCCUAGUGGAUCCAAAACUGAUGCGGAUCCUGAUCUAAAUCCAAUGUACACUUUGUAUCCGAAUCCAAAUAUUAUGGAUCCGAUUGGAUACAGAUCUAGAUCCAAAUCCCAUAUAACUUGUUCGAAUCUGAAUCCAGAUCUUAGUGGAUCCGUACCCAAUCCGUCCCAUUCUCAGCCCUAGGCUAUAGAUUUUGCC
RNAcentral lists this long non-coding RNA (226 nucleotides) under Amborella trichopoda. Its description in RNAcentral is "long non-coding RNA (ATRI_LNC003595)". Lineage: Eukaryota; Viridiplantae; Streptophyta; Magnoliopsida; Amborellales; Amborellaceae. The record is from RNAcentral.